ACUCAUUGGACCCGGGGGCGGUACCCGGCGCCUCCACCAAAAUAUAAUAAACAAAAAUUUAUAUUUUGGUGGGGGCGAAAUAGGAUCGACAAGAGUGUAAAGAUUGCUCUUUUACUCGGUAAGUACCACCGUUAUCGGACUAAAUGAGUAGUUGCAAAUGACAACUAUGCGGAGGCACGUCUCGCCGCUUAAACUGGUGUGAAUGCUUCAAAUUAAGUCUUAAACCGUCGCAGGUUUAAGCGGGGUUCGAAGG
Molecule: transfer-messenger RNA, 253 nt
Filed under: Bartonella alsatica
Lineage: Bacteria; Pseudomonadati; Pseudomonadota; Alphaproteobacteria; Hyphomicrobiales; Bartonellaceae
Description: partial ssrA
Rfam family: Alphaproteobacteria transfer-messenger RNA
About the family: Bacterial tmRNA, also known as 10Sa RNA or SsrA, is named for its dual tRNA and mRNA-like properties. Its role is to liberate the mRNA from a stalled ribosome.
Source: RNAcentral